GAUGAACGCUGGCGGCGUGCCUAAUACAUGCAAGUCGAGCGAACAGACGAGGAGCUUGCUCCUCUGACGUUAGCGGCGGACGGGUGAGUAACACGUGGAUAACCUCCCUAUCAGACUGGGAUAACUUCGGGACACCGGAGCUAAUACCGGAUAAUAUAUUGAACCGCAUGGUUCAAUAGUGAAAGACGGUUUUGCUGUCACUUCUAGAUGGAUCUGCGCCGCAUUAGCUAGUUGGUAAGGUAACGGCUUACCAAGGCGACGAUGCGUAGCCGAGCGGAGGGGGUGAUAGGCCACAUUGGAACUGGAACACGGUCCAGGCGCCUACGGGAGGCAGCAGUAGGGAAUCGUCCGCAAUGGGCGAAAGCCUGACGGAGCAACGCCGCGUGAGUGAUGAAGGUCUUCGGAUCGUAAAACUCUGUUAUUAGGGAAGAACAAAUGUGUAAGUAACUAUGCACGUCUUGACGGUACCUAAUCAGAAAGCCACGGCUAACUACGUG
RNAcentral lists this ribosomal RNA (497 nucleotides) under uncultured bacterium. Its description in RNAcentral is "partial 16S ribosomal RNA". It matches the Rfam family "Bacterial small subunit ribosomal RNA", at positions 28 to 507 of the family's 1533-position model. The record is from RNAcentral.